This 280-nucleotide small RNA is filed under the name Gorilla gorilla gorilla (western lowland gorilla). RNAcentral's name for it is "Metazoan signal recognition particle RNA (ENSGGOG00000041440.1)". The stretch from base 1 to 117 matches the Rfam family "Metazoan signal recognition particle RNA". The record is from RNAcentral. Lineage: Eukaryota; Metazoa; Chordata; Mammalia; Primates; Hominidae.
GCUGGGUGUGGUGGCUCACACCUGUAAUCCCAGCACUUUGGGAGGCCAAGGCGGGUGGAUCACUUGAGGCCAGGAGUUCAAGACUGGCCUGGCCAACAUGGUGAGAUCCCGUCUCUACUAAAAUACAAACAUUAGCUGGGCAUAGUGGUGCAUGCCUGUAAUCCCAGCUACUCAGGAGGCUGAGACAGGAAAAUCACUUGAACCUGGGAGGUGGAGGUUGCAGUGAGGCAAGAUCAUGCCAUUGCACCCGAGCCUGGGAGACAGAGUGAGACCCUGUCUC